Acanthosepion pharaonis is the source of this 94-nucleotide non-coding RNA. NCBI's taxonomy places the organism in Eukaryota, Metazoa, Mollusca, Cephalopoda, Sepiida, Sepiidae. The record is from the annotation of a GenBank genome assembly.
CACACUGGUUCCCCUACGAUCACCGAAAUUAAGCAACGUCGAGCCUGUUCAGUACCUAGAUGGGUGCCCGCUUGGGAGUAGUAGGUGCUGUAAG